AGAGUUUGAUCAUGGCUCAGGAUGAACGCUAGCUGGAGGCUUAAUACAUGCAAGUCGAGCGGGAUUUGGGCAGCAAUGUCUGAUGAGAGCGGCGAACGGGUGAGUAACGCGUACACGACCUACCUUUGACUGGGGGAUAGCCCUGGGAAACUGGGAUUAAUACCGCAUAUUAUUCUGAUUAACAAAGGAUUGGAAUGAAAGUUCAGGCGGUCAGAGAUGGGUGUGCGUCUGAUUAGCUAGUUGGUAGGGUAACGGCCUACCAAGGCGAUGAUCAGUAGGGGGCGUGAGAGCGUGGUCCCCCACACGGGUACUGAGACACGGACCCGACUCCUACGGGAGGCAGCAGUAAGGAAUAUUGGACAAUGGCCGCAAGGCUGAUCCAGCCAUCCAGCGUGCAGGAAGAAGGCCCUAUGGGUUGUAAACUGCUUUUAUCAGGGAAGAAACCUCUGGAUUUACUCCGGAGCUGACGGUACCUGAAGAAUAAGCGCCGGCUAACUCCGUGCCAGCAGCCGCGGUAAUACGGAGGGUGCAAGCGUUAUCCGGAAUUACUGGGUUUAAAGGGUGCGUAGGCGGUUAUGUAAGUCAGGAGUGAAAGUUUGCGGCUCAACCGUAAAAUUGCUUUUGAUACUGCAUGGCUGGAAUUAGGAUGAGGUCAGCGGAAUGUGGCAUGUAGCGGUGAAAUGCAUAGAUAUGCCAUAGAACACCAAUUGCGAAGGC
This 717-nucleotide ribosomal RNA is filed under the name uncultured bacterium. RNAcentral describes it as "bacterial SSU rRNA". It matches the Rfam family "Bacterial small subunit ribosomal RNA", at positions 8 to 722 of the family's 1533-position model. The record is from RNAcentral.